AUGCAGUCGAACGCGAAAGGUUCCUUCGGGAACCCGGUAGAGUGGCGCACGGNUGAGUAACACGUGGGUAAUUUGCCUUCGGGUGGGGAAUAACAGUCGGAAACGGCUGCUAAUACCGCAUAAUGCAGCGGCAUCAUAAGAUGACAGUUGUUAAAGCGGGGGAUCGUAAGACCUCGCGCCUGAAGAGAAGCCCGCGGCGGAUUAGGUAGUUGGUGAGGUAAUGGCUCACCAAGCCCGCGAUCCGUAACCGGCCUGAGAGGGCGGUCGGUCACACUGACACUGACAUACGGGUCAGACUCCUACGGGAGGCAGCAGUCGGGAAUUUUGGGCAAUGGGCGAAAGCCUGACCCAGCAACGCCGCGUGAAGGAUGAAGCAUUUCGGUGUGUAAACUUCACAAGAAUAGGAAGAAUAAGUUAAGGUAAAUACCCUUGACGAUGACGGUACUAUUUGUAAGCUCCGGCUAACUCCGUGCCAGCAGCCGCGGUAAUACGGGGGGAGCAAGCGUUGUUCGGAUUUACUGGGCGUAAAGGGCGCGUAGGCGGCGCAACAAGUCACUUGUGAAAUCUCCGGGCUUAGCUCGGAGCGGUCAAGUGAUACUGUUGUGCUAGAGUGCGGAAGGGGCAACUGGAAUUCUCGGUGUAGCGGUGAAUGCGUAGAUAUCGAGAGGAACACCUGCGGCGAANGCGGGUUGCUGGGCCGACACUGACGCUGAGGCGCGAAAGCCAGGGGAGCGAACGGGAUUAGAUACCCUGGUAGUCCACGCCGUAAACGAUGUCAACUAGCCGUUGGAAGCCUUGAGCUUUUAGUGGCGCANCUAACGCAUUAAGUUGACCCCNUGGGGAAUACGGCCGCAAGNUUAAACUCAAAUGAAUNGACGGGGGCCCCCCCANCGGUG
This 896-nucleotide ribosomal RNA is filed under the name uncultured bacterium. RNAcentral describes it as "bacterial SSU rRNA". It matches the Rfam family "Bacterial small subunit ribosomal RNA", at positions 55 to 934 of the family's 1533-position model. The record is from RNAcentral.